CUUAUGGGAUUCGUCCAACAUCACCUCACUGUAAGUUGUAGAGUUGUACACACUAAUUAGUAAUCCUGCUGCUCUUUGACCACACUCACUGUCCUUGCAUGCAUUAGCCCUGCUCUUGGCCCUUGUGAUAAAAAUGUCAUGCUAGCACAAAGCUGGGAAACAAUACCCUCCCAUAGGGUGGCCAUGCCAAUCGGAAGCCAGCGUUACCUCUCUGAAUCUUAAAGCAUGAAUGGGCUCUACUUCAGGUCUGAAUUGAACUGAGACCAUAAAAUCAAGUCGAGAAGCCUCCAUGGGUGUGUCAUUUAGUCUCACAUCUAGGAGCUUUCCAUUGGGUCUGCUGCCACAUUUACCUCUCUCUGGGUUUUGGGACAUUCUCACAUGGAAGGAGCCGAGAUCGUGGCAUAAUUGCCACCUGCUCCACUGGGGUACUCUGUCAACUUCUACAUCUACCCUCAAGUCUCCCGCUCUGGGUGAGAGCAGUGGUAGAGGCUUUUGCAGUGCUGAUCAUUAUCUCCAUCCCUGGGAAACAAGAAAACAGCACAAUAUCAAAAUCCUUUUGGCUAGAAGAUUUGCUGUCCCUAAGUCACAGAGGAAAACCACGUAGAGACAACUAGAAGCUCAGUAACCCCCAGCAAACCUAGCUAUGCACAUUUAGCAUGUCUGAGCAGCCUUAGGUUCCAAUUCUGGUACCUUGCUGUGUUUCUGUGAGCCUCAGUUUCAGCGUUCAUAAAAUGGGGAUAAUAAUACUUGUUUCUGUUUCACGGUGUGGUUAAAGGAGAUCAUUGAUGUACUAUGUUCUAUGUAUGUCUGCUGGACACGCUAAGGCAGAAUUUGAAAUAAAGACAUUGCUUCAGCUGAAGGCAGAUGUUAGGAAUAGAUUGGUAUUAAUCCCACACGUUGGCAACAAAGACAUUUCAACAUCCAAUACCGGUCCAACUGUGACUCACAAGUGAACUCAGAAUAAUAGCAACACCUGUGAACUCUCAGACUGGGAGUCAGAACCCUGCUGAAAGGAUUGGCUCCUGCAGCACAUGGCAACUCUGGUAAUGGUGACUUGAAGAAGUCGUAAUGUCCCAGCUCUUUAAAUUGUGUGUUUUUUUAAUUAAUAUCAUUUUUAAAAACUUCAUUAGCAGCUCAGAAUGUGAGAACUGAAGGAUCUUCCUUAUCCCUACCUCUCCUUUUAUAGAUGGGAAAACUAAGGACCCUCAAAAGCGACUGUACCUGGCUUCAAAGUGACAGAAGGAAUAGAUGAAAAAAAUGAGAUUCUAGCUUGAUCUCUUAUAUGAUGUCACUAUUCUUAUUUUAUAUGCUCAUUAG
This is a long non-coding RNA of Mandrillus leucophaeus (drill), 1317 nucleotides long. RefSeq lists it as uncharacterized. The record is from RefSeq and is a predicted model, not a curated record. NCBI's taxonomy places the organism in Eukaryota, Metazoa, Chordata, Mammalia, Primates, Cercopithecidae. The transcript is spliced from 2 exons.